Molecule: ribosomal RNA, 466 nt
Filed under: uncultured bacterium
Lineage: Bacteria
Description: partial 16S ribosomal RNA
Rfam family: Bacterial small subunit ribosomal RNA
Source: RNAcentral
CGAACGCUGGCGGCGUGCUUAACACAUGCAAGUCGAACGGAAAGGCCCUGCUUUUGUGGGGUGCUCGAGUGGCGAACGGGUGAGUAACACGUGAGUAACCUGCCCUUGACUUUGGGAUAACUUCAGGAAACAGGGGCUAAUACCGGAUAGGAGCUCCUGCUGCAUGGUGGGGGUUGGAAAGUUUCGGCGGUUGGGGAUGGACUCGCGGCUUAUCAGCUUGUUGGUGGGGUAGUGGCUUACCAAGGCUUUGACGGGUAGCCGGCCUGAGAGGGUGACCGGCCACAUUGGGACUGAGAUACGGCCCAGACUCCUACGGGAGGCAGCAGUGGGGAAUAUUGCACAAUGGGCGGAAGCCUGAUGCAGCAACGCCGCGUGCGGGAUGACGGCCUUCGGGUUGUAAACCGCUUUCGCCUGUGACGAAGCGUGAGUGACGGUAAUGGGUAAAGAAGCACCGGCUAACUACGUG